GCAGCGAUCGUGAACUUGGUCGCGCGAUGAACCAUGCUCUCGGAGUCAGUAGAGGACGACCGAGUCUGCAUGCGUGACUUACGAACAUCUUGAUGGACGUGCGGCGAUAGAAGCAUUCAAGCUGUCAGAUAAAAUACUGCCGAACGAGACCAUGCCAGUCCUCACCAUUCUCAUUCUCCUGCAAGCCCCGUGGCUAGCGACAUCCACUUGGCCCCAGUCCGUGGGGUCGACCGAACAGCCACCACACGUACCCGGGCCCUUCCGCAUCGGCGACUUCACCGACCCUGAGACUGGCCUCAACCCAUUCAUAGACGUUCCGGAAGGCAUCAACCGAUCGCCACGACCUCCGCUCCGCUUCGCGUCCGUUCGCCCUGCGCCGCCGCGUCGAUAUCCAGACAUUCCAGUCCCCGUCGAAGGAGAGGUCAUCCACCGUCCACGCUUCGGCUCUAUCCCCAUUCGAGGAGACGUUUCGGGUAUCUUACCACGCACACCACCUGCAGGCUUUGUACCACGACAGAGAGGAAGAGUUUUCAAGUCAACCACAACGUCACCUAAGCCCGCUUCGUCGCCGCCAGAAACAGCUGAAGAGUUCGAAGAGGACGCUGGAAGCGAGCCUCUCUCCGAGGGUACCAUAUGGACGCUGGUGCUCUGCGGUGUUCUGCUCUUCUGCGCUUUGGUUUUUUUCGCUACUUUACUGACGGUGUGCAUGUACAAACAGCGUCGGACAAGGGUGGUAAUGAGCAAGGCACGCUUUAUAGAAGAAGGGAGGUUGCAGACAAGAGGAAACAGGACUGUCCGAAAGGACCGAGUCAAGCAGCAAGUGAAGGGCUGAGGGACGACCUCAUCGAGUCGAAUCCUACUGCGACAGUGUUGCAGAGCUACAGGCAUUACGUUGCUGAAAGGCGAUCUAGUCGUUUUUGAGAAAAGAAAGUACGAGGAAAAGGAGGAAGUAUAGGUGCUGCAAGUACCUUACAUGGACGUUAGGAGAGUCACAGGUGUGGACAAGAACUCGAGUUUUUAACUGGAUGUCUACAUUAGACAUACGCAAGAUGACCAUAUAACCACCGACUAGUGCCUGUACAAAGAACAGCCUUUACAUCAGCCCCGUUUAUCUUGAUGACCCCUAUGGUAAUUCGGUCGGAAUAGUGUGACUGUUUUAUGUGACAGAAGAUGGUGUACUGUGCCAAACGCCCCUUCCUUUGGGCCCUGUCCGCGGAACGUUCUCUCUGUGUUGACGCCAAAGACACGUGCAAUGGGCUACCGGAUGGUGCUUUUUUUUUUUUUUUUUUUCAGCAGGUCUCUGAACAGGAACCCUCCUGCACCGUGCAUGUACAGUCCUACUGUUUCGCACUGAACACUGUUUGGGGAUGAUAUACUUUAGGUGCAGUUCAGAGAUAAAUCGUGGGUCACUCGA
Molecule: long non-coding RNA, 1414 nt
Organism: Ornithodoros turicata
Lineage: Eukaryota; Metazoa; Arthropoda; Arachnida; Ixodida; Argasidae
Exons: 2
Source: RefSeq, a predicted model, not a curated record